Molecule: ribosomal RNA, 433 nt
Filed under: uncultured bacterium
Lineage: Bacteria
Description: partial 16S ribosomal RNA
Rfam family: Bacterial small subunit ribosomal RNA
Source: RNAcentral
AGCGAACGCUGGCGGCAGGCCUAACACAUGCAAGUCGAACGAACUCUUCGGAGUUAGUGGCGGACGGGUGAGUAACACGUGGGAACGUUCCCUUUGGUUCGGAAUAACUCAGGGAAACUUGUGCUAAUACCGAAUGUGCCCUUCGGGGGAAAGAUUUAUCGCCAUUAGAGCGGCCCGCGUCUGAUUAGCUAGUUGGUGAGGUAACGGCUCACCAAGGCGACGAUCAGUAGCUGGUCUGAGAGGAUGACCAGCCACACUGGGACUGAGACACGGCCCAGACUCCUACGGGAGGCAGCAGUGGGGAAUCUUGCGCAAUGGGCGCAAGCCUGACGCAGCCAUGCCGCGUGAAUGAUGAAGGUCUUAGGAUUGUAAAAUUCUUUCAACGGGGACGAUAAUGACGGUACCCGGAGAAGAAGCCCCGGCUAACUUCGUG